RNAcentral lists this ribosomal RNA (497 nucleotides) under uncultured bacterium. RNAcentral's name for it is "partial 16S ribosomal RNA". It matches the Rfam family "Bacterial small subunit ribosomal RNA", at positions 28 to 507 of the family's 1533-position model. The record is from RNAcentral.
GAUGAACGCUGGCGGCGUGCCUAAUACAUGCAAGUCGAGCGAACAGAUGAGAAGCUUGCUUCUCUGAUGUUAGCGGCGGACGGGUGAGUAACACGUGGAUAACCUACCUAUAAGACUGGGAUAACUUCGGGAAACCGGAGCUAAUACCGGAUAAUAUUUUGAACCGCAUGGUUCAAUAGUGAAAGACGGUCUUGCUGUCACUUAUAGAUGGAUCCGCGCGGCAUUAGCUAGUUGGUAAGGUAACGGCUUACCAAGGCAACGAUGCGUAGCCGACCUGAGAGGGUGAUCGGCCACACUGGAACUGAGACAGGGUCCAGACUCCUACGGGAGGCAGCAGUAGGGAAUCUUCCGCAAUGGGCGAAAGCCUGACGGAGCAACGCCGCGUGAGUGAUGAAGGUCUUCGGAUCGUAAAACUCUGUUAUUAGGGAAGAACAAAUGUGUAAGUAACUGUGCACAUCUUGACGGUACCUAAUCAGAAAGCCACGGCUAACUACGUG